AGGUGCGAAGGAAAAACAUGUAUAAGGAAGGGGACCUGACCCACUUCAACCAGAAGCUUGAGGGGUUCAACUUGUUCAGGUGCUGGGAUGAAUGCCUAGCAAGCUCUCAGUAUCAUGCCCGGAAGAGGGAGGUUGACAAGUUCAACGAGUAAGCACCGGGAGGGGAGGAGUCUGAUAUUCUGGCAUUCUUUCUGGUUUCAUAUUCCACAGCCCAUUUGCCAUACUCAGAAUACCAAGCUAGUAAGGUGCUUGAGGGUGUUGAGUUUGCUGACCCACUCCCAGCCAUUUCUUAAAGAUACUCAAAUGAUUUGUUCAGCCUGGGGGCAGAUGGGCAUAUACAGCCUGCACUCAGUAUAGCCCAUCAAUAUGGUUCACUUUUACACUCAUCUGCUGUUGGGGCACACCAGCAGAGGACUAAGAAUACCACAGUUAUACAGUGGCCUCUAACAUGAAUCUAUCACUGUGACCUUACAGUUACUCCAUCUCCUUGGGCCCCAGUUUCAGCAUCUGCAAAGUGGGGGUAAUUACACCAGCCCUGUUUCCUCACUGAGGUACCCAGAAAACCAAACAGAAAGCACAGAGAAAGUGUUACCACUAUCAUCAGUGAGUGUCAUAAGUGACUGUCUUCCCUGGUACAGUCACAGUCCAAGGUCACCAGGGCACCCCGACUCUGCCUGAGCUCCAUUCUGGGAGGAAGUGAUGAUACUUUCAAGUGCAGACCCUCAGGAUUGGGUCCCCCUUCAGCACAGCUGAAGAACACAAAUCGCACCCCUUUUUCAUUUGGUUUACCCAACUGGGGCACAACUCAAUUAUGAUAAGUACCAUGUGGGCUUCUCCAAGGAUGCCUUGUUCCAACUUUACAAAGAUGUUGACUGAAACUACAUCUGAGCUGACACAACCAUGAUAGAAAAUGUUCUAUGAGAAUCUUCCUUUUUUCUCCAGGGAGAAUUGUUGGAAGAAGAGAGGGUUGUCCAUAAUUCCUACCAAGUAUGGAGUAAGCUUCUCUAUUCCUUUUUUAAAUCAGGUAAUUGCCUUAUAUAAUUUUGUGCCUCUCCCCUGGGCUGGGGCCCCAUUUCCCCCUCUGUUUGCACUAUCACAUGGGAAAGGCCAUUGUGGCUGGUACCAGUGCAGAGUGGAGGGGCUCUCUGCUGUUUAAAUGGACUUGAACUUGCAUAUCCCUAUUUGUCCAGGAUGUCACAGGUCAGUGAAGGCAGCACGAGGCUCAGAGAUCUGAGGUCAACUCUCAGGUCUCCUUCUUCCUGACUGAAGGGCUACAGACAGCUACUCUGCCUUUCUGAUCCUAUGGCUUCAUCUAAGAAUGAGCACAAAGACAUUUGACCUCCUUCCUUCUGUGGAAGACACAGAGAAAGAGAGACAGUGGAAAUUUUUCGGGAACUAUUGAAGGGC
RNAcentral lists this long non-coding RNA (1407 nucleotides) under Lynx pardinus (Iberian lynx). The record is from RNAcentral. Lineage: Eukaryota; Metazoa; Chordata; Mammalia; Carnivora; Felidae.